RNA transcript from Arachis duranensis, 2107 nucleotides. It is a transcript of the gene named putative F-box/FBD/LRR-repeat protein At4g00315, with no coding region annotated. The transcript is spliced from 4 exons. The record is from RefSeq and is a predicted model, not a curated record. Lineage: Eukaryota; Viridiplantae; Streptophyta; Magnoliopsida; Fabales; Fabaceae.
GUUACUUCUCAACAGAGGAGUCGUAGAGAGAUUGAACGAAGCGGCAAAGUUUCUUCGGUAAAUGCAUCUUCCUCGUAGAACUUCAAACAUAUCUGUGAUAUCUCUCUUUCAUUCUGCUUGUGGAUCUUUUUCCCCUUUUUUUUCUGUUUUAUUUUGCUUCUCGUAAGUCUUUGAUGUUGUUUAUUUUCUGAAAAUUCUGGAUGGCAAUUUUACAUAAAAGUUUCCAUAGGGUUCGGUUAAAAUAAAAGUUUCCAUUUUCUACCAGAUGCCAUGUUGAUUUAAAAGAGUUUGUUUUUGAGGUUUUUAGACAUUAGAUCCUUCCGUUACUCUGAUAAAUCAUUUAUAUUGACGUUUAGAACUCUUUUUUCAACGGCUUAUGAUGUUAUGAAGAAAUGGACCGAAUAUCUGCUCUGCCAAAACCUAUACUUCAUGACAUUCUUGCAAGGUUGCCAGAAAAAGAUGCGGCUAUGACUAGUGUUUUGUCAAAUGAAUGGAGAGACACAUGGUAUUCAUUUCCCAUAUUAUCCAUUUGCGACAGAAUUAUUUUUGGUUCUUAUAGUCCUCAGAUAAUUAGCAAACUAGACAAACUAAUUGGCUAUGUCACGAGAAGAUUGUUGAAGCUUCGUGAGCAAAGCUUAACAAUAAAAGUAUUUAAGCUCGACAUGAUGCGAGAACACAAUAAGUAUAUGUCCCAUCAUUUUGAUCUUUGGAUGAACAUGGUUAGCGAAAAUCGUGUGGAAGUACUUGAGCUUUGCCUCUUCUACUUUGACACCUAUCGUGUUCCACCAUAUGACUUACCACGUUGUGUCUUUGAAGUUAAAUCUCUUACUAAGUUGGUGUUGAAAGGAAAAAUAAAACUUAACCAAUCAUUCUUCAAUCAUUCUAUCAAGUUAUUUUCACUGAGAACACUAUGUUUACGUGAUCUACUCCUUGAAGAUAAAGGAAUUAUUGAGCAUCUCAUUUCUCACUGUCCCCUGCUUGAAGAUUUAACUGUAUCUUGUUGUUUAGUAUAUAAAAAGAAGAAUCCAUUUGAAAACGAAAAAUUUGUGGAAUCAUUAUUCUUGCAUGGUCUACAAAAGCUAAAGGAAGCUGAAAUUCAAGGAAUAAAAGAGGUUGAAUUUAGACAGUUUCACAAGAUUGAGAUGUUUGCGGCUGAGGAACUCCAGUAAUACAGAGAAGUGGUUACUUGAUCUAUUUCAUAAUUUCCCUUUCCUUGAGCAUUUGGAAUUGUGUUCUUGCAAUAUGUUAGAGAGAAUUAAUAUUUCGAGUGCUCAACUCAUGAUCUUGGAGGUUAACUCUGACUUGAAGGAGGUGAAUAUUGAUGCUCCAAAUUUAUUAUCAUUUUACUAUUGCGGGGAUGACAGAGCUAUUAUAUCUUUCCUAACAAGUUCUGAUCAUUUGGUAUUCGAUGCUUCUCCUGCCCAUGAUUCUAGGCGUGGUUAUUAUAGCUUGAGGGAAUUUAUCCUAAACAUUAAACCACGAAAGGUUUUGGCAUCACUCUCCCUCUCUGUCUAUCAUAUGGAUGGGAUUGAACAGAAUUGUCUGAGUAUACAGCAAGUUUCAUCCAUUCCUCCUAGUAUCAAAUGCUUGGAAUUGGACUCUUCUCCAAAUGAGGAUGAGGAUCUGUAUUUCCAUUAUAUGAAUUGGUUGCUCUCUUGUUGCUGUCCAAAAACUAUUUCAUUCUUCUUUCAGGAUGAUUAUGGCAUGAAACCAUUCACUGUGUUUGUCUAUGAGUUGCUGAUGGGCAGAAAAAAGCAGGAGUGGUUUGACCAUUUUGGUGAUACAAAGUGUUGGUGGCAUGACUUGAAGAUUGUCAAGCUCACAUACUCAUUCAACGAUGACGAGAAGGUUGACUUUAAGACCGCGGUAAAUUCAAUAUUAUUGUCAACUAAUGACCGGAAAUCUGUUAGUUUUAGCUUAGAAUUGUAAUAUUCUUGUUAUCAACUGGUACACAUUCCUAAUUAGAUUUACAAUUUUGAUGUUACCACUAAACAAGAUUUGGGUAUCGUAUUGAGUAUUUUUUUUCAAGUUUUUAUACUUACACCAAUUAAUAUUGAGGAGUGCUAGGGAACAACAAUUUUUGUAUUUUGUAACCAUCAAUUGGCUA